This is a long non-coding RNA of Pan troglodytes (chimpanzee), 403 nucleotides long. RefSeq lists it as uncharacterized. The transcript has 3 exons. The record is from RefSeq and is a predicted model, not a curated record. NCBI's taxonomy places the organism in Eukaryota, Metazoa, Chordata, Mammalia, Primates, Hominidae.
GCAUCUGCUGCCAAAUAAUGGAAGCUGUCAUCUGAAUCAAAAUCUGCCUAUGUUCCUUAGAGCAGUUAAAUUCAGAUACUAUUUCAGCGACUGUCACCCAGUAGAUGCUCAAGAAGAUUUUUACAACCAUGUUGGUAGAGCAACACAAUAAGGAGGAUGAGAAGGAGGAAGGAGAGGAGGAGGAGGAGGAGGAAGAGAUGAAAAGUCACACCUAAGUCGUCUAUGAGCGAGCGCACUUCCAGAUGACUCCAGCCUCGGCCACUGACUGCAAGCCCAUCAGAAACCCUGAGAUCCACCUAGCGGAGCCCAGACAAUCCCUACACUGUGAGAGACGAUAAUAAAAUGGUGUUGACAUUUUAAGGCACUAAUUUGCUUCAAAAUAAGUAGAUAGACUGGGCAUGGU